Molecule: long non-coding RNA, 1702 nt
Organism: Homo sapiens (human)
Lineage: Eukaryota; Metazoa; Chordata; Mammalia; Primates; Hominidae
Product: long intergenic non-protein coding RNA 1010
Source: Ensembl
AGCUCUUAACAGCCUCAACUCAGAGAUGACACGUGUCUCUUCUGCUCCCAAUCCCUCAGCCAGAAUUAGUAAUGUGGGCUGCUGAAAAAUGUCAGGAGUGCAUGGAUAUUUGGAGAGUGCUGUUUCUGCCACCUUAUUUCAUACCAAACCACAGAAACAAAAUUGGUGACUCUUCUUAGUAAAUUAGAACAGAGUAUCAAAAGGAUUAUUAGGAUCAGAGCAUCUGGAAUGACCAAUGAGUCCAUUAAGUCAGGAGAAUUAGAACAGAACCAUUAUGAGGAAUCAUAAUGGUCAGAAUGGGAACAAACUGACCAAAGGGCUUACUGGAUGAAGCUAACCAGAUAGAGUGAGACCAGAGAGAAGAAGUGGCCCAGGAAGUCAUAACCUCCUGUUCCUGACUUGGACUUUCUGUAAGUGUGAUUCCCAACCUGGUUACUCAUCAGAAUCAUACAAGGAACAUUAGAAAAGCCUUUGUCCUAUGUCUGGAGACUUCUUGGAAGCUGGAGCACACAAAUAGCUACAGCAAACUUGAGGAAUGGGCAUGAAUAGACUGGCUUCGGGGAACCUGCCAGCUUGGCCGUGUGGCCAAGGUAAUAGGCAAGCCAAGGCAGAGCUAGAGCUCAGAGCUGGAGGGGAAAUUAAAGCAGCAAAUGUAGAAACAUUAAGCCUGAAGAGGCGACGACGUUGAAUUCUAAAAUGCAGGCCAAAGCUCAGACUGCAAGCUGUCUGGCUGCUCCGGGUGUGCCCAGAAGUCAAAGUCCAGCAGGGGCAAAGGUGGAGGUGUGGUCCUGCACGUGGGGUGUUGGGGGGAUGUGGAAGAGGAGGUGCUUUAAGAUCCAGAGAUUCCAGCUGCCCUGGUGCACCCUUGGAAGAAUAAAAGGCUAGGAACUGGACAAGUCAGGCUCGAGUCCAAGCUGCCUGAGGAAUCGGGGAAAGAAUGGAGCUCAGAGUGGGAGGUCAGGGCAGUAUUUAAAAAUCCAGGAUAGCAGCAAAGCUGGCGGUGGCCCCUGACUCUGGUAAGGGCAGCCUGCAGCACCAUGCCAAGGGGGGCCUGACUGAUCAUGCCCUGCAUUUGCAAACAAGGAUUAGUAGGGUAUGAGUAGGAUUCUGCUGGUGCCUGGGAAGGCAGUGCCAUCUACAACUUUACAAAGUUUUAACAAAGGCCUGAAGGACACAACCUUCCCCAAAGUCCUGACGUCGCUGUUUGCUGGCAACAAAUAGAGUCAAAAGAAGAGAGGCACAGAAUGUGCCAGGGGUGUGCUGCGUACAGCCCCGAUGACCACAAGGCCUUCUUGGGUCAAGUUCUGCCAUCUCUGGUUAAGAUGGGCUCACCCUCUAGGACCCUGAUUGAGUCCUCGGACCACCAAGAGUGCCCCACCAAGAGCCUCCCUCUUCUGGUGACUCGUGCCUGCUUCCCGUGGAGAGCUCCAGAAGGGAGGAAACUGUGAGGAGGUGGAGAACGUGGCAGGGAUCCUAACUUUCUUACUGAAGGAAGUUCUUCACAAGUACCCAUCUGCCUUCAGGGAAGAAAACAUAACUCAUUUUGGUCUUUCAAAUUCAGUUCUCAAAACCAAAUCCUGUUGUCAGCAAUCUGUGUCCCAACGCCUUCUUCAGCAACAGCAUUUUCCCUGUGGAAUUAGUUUCCAAUGUUCUUUCUUAAAUAAACCACUGAAGAUUAAAAGGAAUCCAGAUACCCACCACA